RNAcentral lists this ribosomal RNA (468 nucleotides) under uncultured bacterium. RNAcentral describes it as "bacterial SSU rRNA". It matches the Rfam family "Bacterial small subunit ribosomal RNA", at positions 328 to 794 of the family's 1533-position model. The record is from RNAcentral.
UUCCCAGACUCCUACGGGAGGCAGCAGUGAGGAAUAUUGGUCAAUGGUCGGGAGACUGAACCAGCCAAGCCGCGUGAGGGAGGAAGGUACAGAGUAUCGUAAACCUCUUUUGUCAGGGAACAAAGGCGGGGACGUGUCCCCGGAUGAGUGUACCUGAAGAAAAAGCAUCGGCUAACUCCGUGCCAGCAGCCGCGGUAAUACGGAGGAUGCGAGCGUUAUCCGGUUUUAUUGGGUUUAAAGGGUGCGUAGGCGGGGUGUUAAGUCGGUGGUAAAAUGGGGGGGCUCAACCCCUGACCGCCAUUGAAACUGGCGCUCUUGAGUGGAAGAGAAGUAUGCGGAAUGCGUGGUGUAGCGGUGAAAUGCAUAGAUAUCACGCAGAACCCCGAUUGCGAAGGCAGCAUGCCGGCUUCCGACUGACGCUGAAGCACGAAAGCGUGGGGAUCGAACAGGAUUAGAUACCCGAGUAUG